Molecule: long non-coding RNA, 5594 nt
Filed under: Homo sapiens (human)
Lineage: Eukaryota; Metazoa; Chordata; Mammalia; Primates; Hominidae
Description: HSALNT0178468
Source: RNAcentral
GGCCUAUAAAAUAUGUAUUUACCUUGUGUACUCAUUUGGAGGUUUAAAAUUUCACUGAGGAGACCUUUAACAUUUUUAUAAUAAUCAUUUUACUAAAGCAAAGAUUAAGUACACAUUUUCCCAACAUAACAAUUUCAUCUAUGGAUAGGCAUUAGCUACAUGAUUUUUCAUUUUAAAACCCCACAAUGAUUAUUUUUCAGACAUAAAUAAAAAAUACACUGGUUCUAGAUGCCAACAAAAUCACAUUUGCAAACCUUAAGAGUUUGGUAAGUUACAACAUUAAGAUGACUAACGAUAUGUGUGCAGUAUUCUCAGUAUAGAAUACCCAAAAUUCCCGUGUACAUCUGUGUUGCUUGAGUGUCCCAGUAUGGGAGGAGGUAGACUUGGCACAUCGAAAGCCACUGCUAUACUAAAGAAUCAUACAAAGUCUCAGGGAUUCUUCAGAGAAUCAGCUAUUAUAAAAUCCAUCUUGAUAAUUCAUUUUGUGCGAGAAUGUGAGAAUGAAAUGCAAAGGAGGUUAAUUUUACCCAGGAGAGCAUUCAUAUCCUUUUCCACUUGUCAGAAUAUACUUGAUUCAUAAGUGGUCUUUUACCGACCUACGACUACAUCACAAGAGCAUGCCAGCCACAGUGUCUUCCCUUAACACUUUGUGUUUUUUUGUAGGGAUUAUGGUCACAUAGUCACACGGUCCCUUCUCCUCCUGGGCAGGUCCUUUUCCCUUCUGUCCCAGCCUUGCUGCCAACACAAGAUCAUAUAGCCUCUGUGUCCACCCAGCCAGUUAAUUGUUCAUGGACCAAACUAGUGAUCUGGCCUCAAUCUCUCCACUGCCAGCUCUAGAUGCUAUUGAUUUUUACUGAUAAUAUAAGUAGUAAUAUACUGGAGAAAAUUUUUUAAAGCAUAAAACCAGGAAAACCCAUAAUCCAACUACCCAGAGUUUGCAUAUCCUUUCCAUCUUUUUAAAAGUCAUUUUUUGGAUUUAUACAUACAAUUUUGUAUAUCACUCUUUUCACUUAACACUAUAAGCACUUUGCCAUGCUGUCAAAUACUCUUCAGAAACAUAAAUUAUAAUGAUGGCACAACAGUCUACUGGAUAGUCAUACUGUAAUUUACUUAACCAAUUUUCUACUGUUGGACUUUAAGAUUGUCAAGCCUUGAUUUUGCCCACAUUUUAGACUAUUUCUUUAGGACAAAUUCCCAGAAGUGGAAUUGGAGGAUCAGAGGAUCUAAACAUUUUUAAAGCUCCUGAUAGAUAUUGCCAAAUUGCUUUUCAGAAAACCAUUGCCAGUCUACACUUCUAACAUUGCCAGUGUGUUUUUCUGCCAAUAUAGAUCUGUCUAAAGGAUAAUAAAAUUUAAAUGAAACACGCAGUCCUCUAAUUAUUAAUGCAGCUGGAGAGGCAUCAAGACCAGAGCACAAAGGCAUGUGGCAACAGUCAUACCUAUUUCCAGGUAUGCAGUUAACAAUGGGUUAGUGUGCACACACGGAACAGAAAAUUUGCAAGAGUGAAGAGUAAUAUAAUUAGAUUUCAGACCAUCUAAUCCAAGGCCUGUGUCUAUUUUGUACACUGCUGUAUCUCGGCACACAAGAUAGCAUCUGGCCCAUACAGCCACUCAAUAAAAAAUUGUUGAGUGAAUUAACACAGAAUCUUCUUUCAGAUGCAAUCUUUCAGCAGCUGUAGGGUUUAGUUACUCCUGAACUCAUAGGAAACAUGACUGACUGGAUCAGACAAUUUUGUAAUGGACUGUUCAAUGCUGAGAUUCUACUACAACUUUGGAAAAUCAGUUUAAAUAAAGGUGACACAAUAAAGAGCUCUCUAGGGGAAAAGACAAAUACACUUACCUAAAAGGACAGAUCUCAGCACCAGUUGCAAGGUGCAAAUACACAUAUGUAUCUGUAAUACAUAUAUAUAUUUGCAAGCAUGCAAAAAAUACAUUUCAGUGAGUUUUGUCAUCUCCAUAGUACACACUUUAAUAGGUGAUAACAUAAGCUUAUUCAAAUGCUACCCAUGGUCAAAUCAUUUUUGGGACUACCUUCAGUUCAUUCUAUUAUUGUUGGUUGCAGCUUGGCAUCAGUUUUAGUGUUGCCAACACUGGUUUUGAUAUUUUACAUGGGAAUAAUAUAGGUGGUUUUAUAAUAUCAUUUUUAGUCAAAAACAGCACAAAAUUUAUUUUGUGAACCAGAAUAUUUCAAGGUAAAAUAGCCAAUCAUUCAGCUUUAGUUUACUCUCCUGGCUCCACAGAGUCCCUCCAAUAUUCCACAAUUUCUUUUUUUUGUUUGAGACAGGGUCUCACUCUGUCGCCUAGGCUGUAGUGCAGUAGCACGAUCAUGGCUCACUGCAGCCUGGACCUCCUGGGCUCAAGUGAUCCUCCUGCCUCAACCCUGCAAGUAGCUGGGACUACAGCCACGUGCCACCAUGCCAGGCUAAUUUUUGUAUUUUUUUGUAGAGAUGGGGUUUCACCAUGUUGGCCCAGGUUGGUCUCUAACUUCUGGCCUCAAGCAAUCUGCCCGCCUCAGCCUCCCAAAGUGCUAGGAUUACAGACAUGAGCCAUCGUGCCUGGCCCACAAUUUCCACAAAUAAAUUGUCAGACACUGCCAGAUCAAUGUGGCAUUAAUAAUGUUAUUGAUGGAAAAUAAUCAUCUGUCAUUUUUAUAUACACACUUCAUAUACACUAGACUGGGGGUUAUAUCAAACUAUAGCCGAUGGGCCAAAUCUGUCCUGCCAUCUGUUUUUCUAUGGCCUAAAAGCUAAGAAUGUCUAACUUUCUUUUUUUGAGAUGGAGUCUCCCUCUGUUGCCCAGGCUGGAGUAGUGGCAAGAUCUUGGAUCACUGCAGCCUCCAGGGUUCAAGCAAUUCUCCUGCCUCAGCCUCUCGGGUAGCUGGGAUUACAGACACACACCACCACGCCCGGCUAAUUUUUAUAUUUUUAGUAGAGAUGAGGUUUUACCAUGUUAGCCAAGCUGGUCUCGAACUCCUGACCUCAGGUGAUCCACCCGCCUCGGCCUCCCAAAGUGCUGGGAUUACAGGUCUGAGCCACCGUGCCCGGCCUCUUUUUAACAUUUUUCAAUGGUUUAAAAAAAUCAAAAUAGUAUUUUGUAAAAACUAUAUAAAAUUCAAAUUCUAGUAUCCAUUUAUAAAGUUUUAUUGGAACACAGCUGUGCUCAUCUGUUUCUAUAUUAACUAUGUCUACUUUUGCACUAAAAUGUUUAGUGGCAAAAGAGACCAUAUGGCCCAUAAAGACUCCUUUAUAGAAGUCUGUUGACCACUGGACUAUGCCCAAGUGAGUCCUUGGAGGGGACCCACUGGAGCUCCCCACUAUAGAUUUUUUGUUUCCGGAUAUUAAUACUGGGAAAGGGGUGAUUCAACUAGGACAGUAUUUGCAAGGAUCUGAUAAGGGAGACACUGUAGAACAUAAAUACAUGAUGGUUACCUCAGAAAAGAUAUAAACGCCUGGUAAAAUCUGGGUGGGCUGACUGAAGAAGAAGUAAUUGGAGAAUGCACAGUAACAUACACAAUUUAGCAGCAAAGGUGGGCUCUUAUUGAGUCACAUGGGACCUUGCUGAGACCCAAUCCCAACGAGCCUAGUGAAACUCUCUGGUGAUGAUGUCUGCAAAUAGCAGGGAGACUGAGCAGCAUUUGUAAUGCAAUGACAGACAAUUCCCCAAUAGUACCCCAUUCCUUUAUUAGGUGUCCUCAAGUCAUUUAGCAUCCAGAUUUAUCCAGGCAUUUCCAAAGGCAAGUCUUAGUCUUUGACUAGAAAUUCAUCUGAAAAAAAGUUUCUGGGAAGGAGGCCCCAGGUAAACAUUCUUCCCCAAAUAACAUUUCAAUGAGGACUCAGUGAGGAUCAGAAUUCAGAAGAUGGCAGAACCCUCCACAUGUUUUUCUAAGUCACAGAUUUGGUGAACAUUUUAUUCUUUCUCUUUUUGAUCAUUACUAGUGGGGCAAAUGAAGCAAGGUAGGGUGGGGUGAUGGAAGGGGAGAAUUGCAUAAAAUCAGUGUUAGGAUGAUCUGCCCCAGAAGGCAUGUAUUCCUCUUAGACGCUCAGCUGUGGCAUAAAACAUUCCAUGUGGACUUUGAAUUAGAAUGAGCGUGGGGGCGGGGACAAAGAUCAACCUGAAAGCCAAACGGAGUCAUUGACCGAUGGUGUUAAGCUUGAGAAAGUUUGCAGAUGGCCAGCUCUCCUACUGACAUCCCACAGAAAGCCAGGCUUGAUCUAUUGUGGUUAGGUGGAGUUUCUCCUGCCAGGGAAAAUACAGUUGCUAGGAGAAUGGGCUUUGGAUGUUAUAACUCUGAAGAAGUUUCAUGACUCUUGCUACUAGAGGUAACCAUAUUGCCUCCUUGAGAAACUGGUGACACUGGGUGCCUCUGGGGAGUGCAACUGAGGGUGGCUAAGGUGCCCAUGUCCCUUAGAAAAAACAAAAUCAACACAUAAUUCCCCCAUGUCACCCCACCCUGCUUCUUUAAGAUAGGAAGGCAACCUGGGGCCAGGGCUGGAGCAGACAAUUUCCUUACUCAGCAGCUGAAGCGGGGAGCUGAAAGAAGGAUCCAAAAAAUCAGAGAAGAGUUGUAAGUUAAGUGGAAAACCAUGACCCAAAGGUCAAUACAAGGAUCAGCACACCAAAGUGACCAAAAGCAGCUACUGAAGAUGUGACCCAGGACCAGAAAACAAAGCAACAAGGAAAGAGAGGAGUAAGAGCAAACUGUGAAGAAUAAACUGAGAGGUGUCUGAAGAUAGUCAAGGACAAGAGCCUGGGGUGUGACGGACACAUAGCUGGAUGUGUGAGACUACGGGACCAGGAGCUCAAGAGGCCUAGGCAGCAAGGUGCAGGCCAGGGCAAAACGUGCAUCAGCAAUAAAAUAGAUUUGGUGGGUGGACACAUUAGGAGUACUCAUAUAAGAACUUUCCUAUUUGGAGAUGCCCAGAUCAUGCUCUACCCUUGGGUUUAGAAAUUCUGAGCAGCCAAAUGUGAAUGGUUUGCUCUGGAUAAGUCCUUUUCAUUAUAGCCAAUUGGAACCAUUUGAAUUCACACUCCUAAUUACCUGCUUCUGGUUGCUGUGUCUAAACCAUGUCUGGACCAACAUAGCUUCUGGUACUCUACACUCCACCAUGGGUCUUGGUCCAGCAUCACUGGCAGGGACAUACCAGCCCUGUUCAUAGGACUGGAAUAAAAUCCAGAAGUAAGUUGUCUCAGGACCUCUGUUUAAUAACAGGUUAGAAACAACUCCUGUAGGUAUGGUUGUGGGAUCCUGGCCUGGGACCAGGAGCAUAUAAAUCUGCAACAAUUACCACUGGGUAGGCCUUAGCAAGGAUUACUAUGAGGUUCAGCAACAAAGCUGCAAGAACUAGUGGUGGGGACUUUGUUCCUAAAGUGCAGUGUCCCUGGUGCCAAGUGCUUGUGGGCAACCUAGAGCCGCAUCUGAUGUAGGAAGACUUCAUUGUCCUGAAAUGGAAUGUCUAGAAACUGUUAAGGAGCUGGAGGUCUAUAAGCUGUUGUUUGGUUUAAGAGUUUUCUUACACAGUAUCUUCUCUUUGUGGGACAACGUCUAGCUUUCAAGGUGUCUCAAAACUAACAGCCCUGUCUCACCCAUCCUCAUGG